AGCUGUACGGCCACUUCCAUCCACCGUGUGUCCUCCAUCUAGGCUCCGCGUACACCACGUGCAGCUCGGCGGUUCCGCAUUUUCAGAUAGAAGGGGAGAGAGAGCGGCGGGUCAGCGCACCUAUUCAUUUCGUUCCCCAUUUUCUCUCUCUAGGGUUAUUCGCUCUCCUCUCUCCUCGCUCGCAUCGAUUUUGCGAUUUUUCACAUCCAACCUCUUGAAUUACCCACACACCAGCAACUCAGCUAGAUCCGGUGGUGAUCAACGGCAUCUCUGACGAGGUGAGUGAUUUCCUCCAUCGCCGCGCGCCCAAAAGUCCCCCCUCCUCGUGGUUUUUUCCACGCCAUUUCCUGGUGUGCUCCUGUUUUUGUGGAUUUCAUCAUCGCGCUCAUCCGCUGGGGAUUCCACGGCGUCUAUCGGGGGCAAGGUGCCGAAGCGCAGAUCUGGACACUCUCCAAUCGUGCCCCCACUCUUCUGUUCAUGGCCCGCAGCUCGCUGGCGGUUCUGCUCCUGCUUGCGGCGCUCGCGGGCGUGGUCGCUGCCAGGAACAUCGUCCACCAGGACGACGAGGACCCGAAAUUCCCGGCUGCGCCAACGAUUUUGUCCUAGGUGCAGACAACACAUUCAUGAUUCACCAGAGAACCUGGUUAGUGUUGUUCAAAUAACCAUACCAAGUUACAAUGACAAGAGGGAAGAAGCAGCAGCAAGGUCGUGCUGCCUCAUCUAAUGUGAGAAGGAGGUUGCCCAAAUAAUUUGUGAAUAUCCAAAGGACGAACUAUGGUUUACAUUACUCUGCAAGAAGAUACAUAUGCAGUAAGACUUGAUUCACUCUUAGAUUUCAAAAAGAAUCAUUUCUUUGCUUGUCCACACUCAAGCUCCAAGAAAAGUAUUUUUGCUGCAGGCAAGAUAUGAAUGAGCUCGUACAAUGAUGUGAUAGUCAAAACUAGUGGCUCUUUAGCAACUUUUAGACCAAUAUAUUGUAUUAUGCAAUUAUAGCUUGGGACUGUUGCAUUUCUCCAAUAAUUGUAGCAAUUUAUAUGUCAUGGAGGUGAACUUGAUGAAAUAUAUACUAGAGGUAUUUGUUAGGACUCCCUCUCCAAGAACUGAACGUCGUUAAGACCAACUACCCUAGCUCCUCAGAGCAAUUUUUAAAACUCAUAAGCUUGUAUGUGCAGUUCUUUUGAUCCCUAGUAUUCAUGCAGGCCUGACAAUCUUUUAGGUUUGUUUUCUGAUUGAGUUAAGCAGCUUGGUAGUAGCAUAUUUGUUUGCAACUUCUCAUUAUUGAAAUGUCAUUUUUCAUAUUUUGUAUAUGGUUUUGUAAAAUUCAAUUGAAUCUUUUGUCCAUGCUCUAAUUUUCUCGCACUUUCUUAGAACUUUGCUUAUAUGGUUCCAAAACAAUGCUUAUUCUGUCUAGGAAAUUCAUGAUUAUUAGUUAGGCAAAGUAAUACUUUUAGUUGUACAAUUUUUUGGCUACGGAACAAGCAAAUGCAUAUGCAUGUAGGCAAUUUUUAUAACAUUUUAUUUUUCAAAUGCCUCUGUUGAUAAUUAGGAUACAAUAGGUAGUUCUUCAGCUUAUCCAACUUACUUUAUGUGCUACAUACUAUCUGAUGUAUUCCUAUUUUUCCCAUUAUAUGACAGGUCAUGGAAGGUGCUCAUAAGUUAGGUAAAGACUCUGUUACAACAAGCUAAAGUCAAGUAUAAGCAGGGUGUAUCUAGUGUUUACGUGAUGACUGAUGAAACAAUAUUAUUGUGAAUCUGUUUUAUUGGCUUGUACAUUUAUUCUAAAUUGCUUCGGAGUUUAUUAUGAGAUGCUUUCAACUUUUAACCAAAGUGCUCUUGGAACUGUACGAGAAAAAUAUAAUCGAAACAUAUUGAAGUGAUAUCUUGUUUU
This is a long non-coding RNA of Panicum virgatum (switchgrass), 1888 nucleotides long. RefSeq lists it as uncharacterized. The transcript has 3 exons. The record is from RefSeq and is a predicted model, not a curated record. Lineage: Eukaryota; Viridiplantae; Streptophyta; Magnoliopsida; Poales; Poaceae.